UACGUAGGGGGCAAGCGUUGUCCGGAUUUAUUGGGCGUAAAGAGCGUGUAGGCGGCUUGGUAGGUCCGCUGUGAAAACUCGAGGCUCAACCUCGAGAUGUCGGCGGAAACCACUUGGCUAGAGUCCGGAAGAGGAGAGUGGAAUUCCUGGUGUAGCGGUGAAAUGCGCAGAUAUCAGGAAGAACACCCGUGGCGAAGGCGGUUCUCUGGGACGGUACUGACGCUGAGACGCGAAAGCGUGGGGAGCGAACAGG
RNAcentral lists this ribosomal RNA (253 nucleotides) under uncultured bacterium. RNAcentral describes it as "partial 16S ribosomal RNA". It matches the Rfam family "Bacterial small subunit ribosomal RNA", at positions 524 to 776 of the family's 1533-position model. The record is from RNAcentral.